RNAcentral lists this unclassified non-coding RNA (229 nucleotides) under plant metagenome. RNAcentral describes it as "partial contains small subunit ribosomal RNA, internal transcribed spacer 1, and 5.8S ribosomal RNA". The record is from RNAcentral.
UCUCCGUAGGUGAACCUGCGGAGGGAUCAUUACAGAGUUCAUGCCCUACCGGGUAGAUCUCCCACCCUAUGUUAUUAUUACUUUGUUGCUUUGGCGGGCCGUUAGGCUCCGGCCCGACUACCGGCCCCGGCUGGUAAGCGCCCGCCAGAGGACCCAAAACCCUGAAUAUUAGUGUCGUCUGAGUACCAUACAAUAGUUAAAACUUUCAACAACGGAUCUCUUGGUUCUG